UUCUGUUAAGAGUCUUUUGGUAACGUUCUCUACAAUUUUUGCAAGACAGAAUUUUUCUUAUGGUAUGUGCAAAUCAAUCUCUAGCAAGAUAAGAGAAAAAGUUCUUAGCAAUUCACCCAUUGGAUUUUAGGGCUGUAUUUUAGAAAUAAUUCUCCAAAGAUGUUUUUAAAGAGACACUUGAAAUUUCUUGUUAGCUCACUCUCUUUUUCCUUUCCUUCACAUUCUGCAACAAUCCCAAAGCAGGCACUAAAGGCCAGCCUUCAGAGGAAGUUGACAGAGCCUGGGAAAAGCUAACACAGAGCUUGUUAUUGAGCUCUGAUGUGGGUUGUAUAGGACUUCCCCAGGACCUUGGAUUUCUUUGUAGUUCUCUCAACAGAGCAUCAUAUGUCAUAUGUGAAAAUGUUACACUACCAAUUUGUUUGGUGUCUUAUGUUUAUUUGUUACAUUUUUUUAAAUGUCAUUAAAACAUAUUAUCAUCACCUUCACAGUGUAAUAUAACAUGCAUAUACUUUUUGCAGUCAGGUGUCAUCACUAUUGUCACUACUUUUCAGCUCACUGAAGACUCCAAAGCAGUAGGAUCCAUAAAUGGUAAAUAGAUCCAACAGUGGCUAGAUAGCUUCCACAGUCAUCCCAAAAGAAUCAAUCACUGAAACAGCGGACAGUUGUUUUAUGCUAUCUGGGCAGCUGGAAUGUCAAAAAAUUACUUAAUAAUCAAAACGGAAAACAAAAUUUAAUAUACUUUGUUAUGUGCUUGUGAUAUAUUAAGCUUUAGUUUUGCUGCCUCAUUAUUCAUUUGUGAACAGUUUUGUCUUGUUUUGUCUAGGAAGACAAAGUGAUACCAGAGUUGAGUAAGGGGUAGGAGGAGAGAGGCAUUUGCUACAGCAGAGCUCUGAACAGAAGGCCAAGUAAGGACACACAGAAAUGAUAGAAAAUUGUGCAAUAUCACAAAAUCAAGAUAGCCACUCAUGAUUAGAAAUGUAGUAAAACCAAGUUAUUUCUAUAUGUCCUGAUUGUGUCUUUAAUUUAAGCUCAAAACUUCAAAAGAGCUAAAUAUGACUCCACUUGGAAACAUGAUAUUGAGUGAAUGACUUGUGCCAUGGAUUUAAAGUCAGUGAUAUAUAUUCUAACUAAGGAAUGCUAUGGGAACUGGACUUGGGAACUGGAGUUGAACUGUACUGUAGAUUUGUUAAAACAACUCCUGGCAUUCUUUGAUCAAUGUUAAUUGAAAUCUGCAGAAAAUUUCUGUGCACAGUCAUGAGCUGAGUGAGCUCAGGUCUGUUCCCAGCAAAUGUCUUGGUUGUGCUACCCUGUUUAAAACAAGGGAGACUUUAGUAGAGGUGAUGUGUGCAGACCAUGCCAGAUGGCCUCAGGGAUAGAAAAUGAGCCCUGAAAAUUUUAGUUAUAAAUUUAGUUGUUACUAUAGAUUCUCACUGACUUCAGUGGAGGCAGGGCCUCACCUAGUGUAGCUGACCUAUAUUAUUUAUAUUUAUUUUUGAUUAUAGAUGUAAAGCAUAGAAUUAUAAUAUUGAAGCUCUGCUGAUCCAGCCAAAGCUCAAGUUCUGGAUAUCUGACCUAAUUCUUUUCACACUAGGAUCUUAAAAAAUGGAAAGUAUUUCAGAGUAAUAGCCACUCUUGUACCAGUACGCUUGAAGCUUAAACAAGAAUUUUUCUAAUUAUUAUUUAGGGAUGGGUGGGAGGGGAUAGACUCUGACAGAUGUUGCAACCAUAAAUCUAACACCUGUUUCCUAUCUGAAGUACAGUUCAUAGGCAACUUCCAACAAGGCAUGUUUUUCCACAAAACCUUUAAUAUAGUCUGAUUUUGUAGUGGCACAAGCAUUAUUUACAAAUGCCUGAAAUUCUUUUUAAAUAGAUUUCCAUAAAUGCCUCUAUUGUUGGUAUUUUGCAACACCUCCAUACCCACCUGAAUAUCAACUCUACUGCAAUAUUCAAAGUGCAUCAAAGAGGAUGGACAUUCAGAAGGAAUCCCUUUCCUCCAUGCCUACGUGAGAGGUGAAGAGAAGACAGUGGUGAUUUCUGUCCCUCUUUCCAAUGUAUAGGAAAUGGAUCAAAGACCUACCAAAAUGGAGGCAGGGGAAGGAUGGACAGACUGUUCAGUCUUAAAUGUCUCCUUUACAUAAACAUACAAGCUGAAAGUAUCUAUCACUCUCAACAUUUCAUAGAGAAAUUCUUUAAUAUAGUCCUCUUACUUUAAUUUGAUUUCCACUGAGCUAUAGCUGCUGAAUAGGGAGCUAUUUCAAACAAAAUAAUGUAAAAUAUAUUAUGUAAUCAUCUAUUUAAUUUCUUAAUGUAUGCUUUAAGAAUAUUUACAUACUUUUUUUGUUGAAGCAUGUAGAGAAGAAAUUAUCUUCUCUAAGAAGUGAAGUAAAAGCCCUUAUAGCAAAUUUAUUAGAAAGUACAAAAGGGAUUUAUGUUGCAUGCAAGAUAAAAUUGAAGAUGCAUUUUAAUCUGGUUCAACCAGAAGAACUCUACAAGUAAAAUCUUUUCAUUAAAUUUGAAGUUAUUAAGUCCUAUGGACUGGAGCCAAAAUCCACCGCUGUUGAUGAACAGACUUCAAGUGACUUAAAUAGGACUUAAGCUGAAAAAUGAGAAAAAGAUACACAAUUUUAAAUAAUCCAGGAAGGGGGAAAAACUGUUUUCUUUUCUAAUAUUGCCUUGGUGCACAGCUGCCUUCAUUGUCAAUACAGGGGUUUAUUCCUGCAGGAAAAAAAAAAAAAAAAAAAAAAAAAAA
This is a long non-coding RNA of Oxyura jamaicensis (ruddy duck), 2749 nucleotides long. RefSeq lists it as uncharacterized. The transcript has 2 exons. The record is from RefSeq and is a predicted model, not a curated record. Lineage: Eukaryota; Metazoa; Chordata; Aves; Anseriformes; Anatidae.